GAGUGGAGAUGCGCGAGGUGGAGCCACGUGGUGGCAAAUGCGGCGAAGGCUGAGGCGUCGAUGGAGGAGUAGGAGGAGGAGUUGACGGGGACGGGAGACGGCGGAGAUGAGGGAUAUUGAAGGAAGAAGUUGAGGAGGGGUAAAGGAGAGGAGGGAAAGGAGGGGUAUAAUUGUCUUUUGCCACCAAAGGUUCUAAAGUUUAGCAUCCUAUCCAAACAUCCUAAGGUGCUAAACUUUAGCCCUCUAUUUGAGGGUGCUAAACUUUAGCACUGUGCUAAACUUUAGCACUUGGUUCCCAAACAGGGCCUAAAUGUAUUUUUGCAGUUCCGAGGAGUUAAUGAAGGAGGUGUCAUCGCUCUCGGCGACGCACGUACCAGCAGCCAUCAAUCUAG
Molecule: long non-coding RNA, 392 nt
Filed under: Setaria viridis
Lineage: Eukaryota; Viridiplantae; Streptophyta; Magnoliopsida; Poales; Poaceae
Description: long non-coding RNA (SVIR_LNC011063)
Source: RNAcentral